GCUCAGUUGGUAGAGCAUGGUGUUUGCAAUGCCAGGGUUGUGGGUUCGAUUCCCAU
RNAcentral lists this transfer RNA (56 nucleotides) under Salmo salar (Atlantic salmon). It matches the Rfam family "tRNA", at positions 10 to 63 of the family's 71-position model. Rfam says of the family: Transfer RNA (tRNA) molecules are approximately 80 nucleotides in length. Their secondary structure includes four short double-helical elements and three loops (D, anti-codon, and T loops). RNAcentral also lists the same sequence under 1 other name. The record is from Rfam by way of RNAcentral. Lineage: Eukaryota; Metazoa; Chordata; Actinopteri; Salmoniformes; Salmonidae.